CGCACAUUGCGCCCUCUGGUAUUCCGGGGGGCAUGCCUGUUCGAGCGUCGCAUCAUCACGAUCAGGCGACUUUGAUGUCGCCUGGAAUUGAGCGAUCACUUCCUCCGGGACAGUGCGCUCGAAAAUUAGCGGCGGCUCGGUCGAGCUCCUAGCGCAGUAGAAACUUAAUCUCGCUACCGGUGUCUUCGACCGCGCCCGCCGGGCAACCCCAUUGCGUGGGCCUGACGCAUGCUCUUUGAAAUCGACCUCGGAUCAGGUAGGGAUACCCGCUGAACUUAA
This 279-nucleotide unclassified non-coding RNA is filed under the name Pezizomycotina sp. Its description in RNAcentral is "partial contains 5.8S ribosomal RNA, internal transcribed spacer 2, and large subunit ribosomal RNA". Lineage: Eukaryota; Fungi; Ascomycota. The record is from RNAcentral.